UACGGAGGGAGCUAGCGUUGUUCGGAAUUACUGGGCGUAAAGCGCGCGUAGGCGGCUCAGCAAGUCAGGGGUGAAAUCCCGGGGCUCAACCCCGGAACUGCCUUUGAAACUGCUAGGCUAGAAUCCUGGAGAGGCGAGUGGAAUUCCGAGUGUAGAGGUGAAAUUCGUAGAUAUUCGGAAGAACACCAGUGGCGAAGGCGACUCGCUGGACAGGUAUUGACGCUGAGGUGCGAAAGCGUGGGGAGCAAAC
This 250-nucleotide ribosomal RNA is filed under the name uncultured bacterium. RNAcentral's name for it is "partial 16S ribosomal RNA". It matches the Rfam family "Bacterial small subunit ribosomal RNA", at positions 524 to 773 of the family's 1533-position model. The record is from RNAcentral.